CACAGUGUAGCUUAACAUAAAGCAUCCGGCUUACACCCAGAAGAAUUCAUGACUCAUGAACACUUUGA
Molecule: transfer RNA, 68 nt
Filed under: Aethomys hindei (Hinde's rock rat)
Lineage: Eukaryota; Metazoa; Chordata; Mammalia; Rodentia; Muridae
Description: tRNA-Val
Rfam family: tRNA
About the family: Transfer RNA (tRNA) molecules are approximately 80 nucleotides in length. Their secondary structure includes four short double-helical elements and three loops (D, anti-codon, and T loops). Further hydrogen bonds mediate the characteristic L-shaped molecular structure. tRNAs have two regions of fundamental functional importance: the anti-codon, which is responsible for specific mRNA codon recognition, and the 3' end, to which the tRNAs corresponding amino acid is attached (by aminoacyl-tRNA synthetases). tRNAs cope with the degeneracy of the genetic code in two manners: having more than one tRNA (with a specific anti-codon) for a particular amino acid; and 'wobble' base-pairing, i.e. permitting non-standard base-pairing at the 3rd anti-codon position.
Source: RNAcentral